Molecule: ribosomal RNA, 431 nt
Filed under: uncultured bacterium
Lineage: Bacteria
Description: partial 16S ribosomal RNA
Rfam family: Bacterial small subunit ribosomal RNA
Source: RNAcentral
AACGAACGCUGGCGGCAGGCUUAACACAUGCAAGUCGAGCGCCCCGCAAGGGGAGCGGCAGACGGGUGAGUAACGCGUGGGAACGUACCUUUUGGUUCGGAACAACUCCGGGAAACUGGAGCUAAUACCGGAUAAGCCCUAACGGGGAAAGAUUGAUCGCCGAAAGAGGGGCCCGCGUCUGAUUAGCUAGUUGGUGAGGUAACGGCUCACCAAGGCGACGAUCAGCAGCUGGUCUGAGAGGAUGAGCAGCCACACUGGGACUGAGACACGGUCCGGACUCUUACAGGAUGGAGCAGUGGGGGAUAUUGCCAAAUGGCCGGUGUGAUGAACCACCCAUGAUGGGUGAGUACUUAAGGCUUUGGGGUAGUAAAGCUAUUUUGUACCUUAAUAUUUUGACUUUACCGGCAGAAUAAGCCCCGGCUAACUUCGUG